Molecule: ribosomal RNA, 373 nt
Filed under: uncultured bacterium
Lineage: Bacteria
Description: bacterial SSU rRNA
Rfam family: Bacterial small subunit ribosomal RNA
Source: RNAcentral
GACGAACGCUGGCGGCGUGCUUAACACAUGCAAGUCGAGCGGUAAGGCCCUUUCGGGGGUACACGAGCGGCGAACGGGUGAGUAACACGUGGGUGACCUGCCCUCAGCUCUGGGAUAAGCCUGGGAAACCGGGUCUAAUACUGGAUAUGACUCCAUGACGCAUGUUGUGGGGUGGAAAGCCUUGUGCGGCUGAGGAUGGGCCCGCGGCCUAUCAGCUUGUUGGUGGGGGAUGGCCUACCAAGGCGACGACGGGUAGCCGGCCUGAGAGGGCGACCGGCCACACUGGACUGAGACACGGCCCAGACUCCUACGGGAGGCAGCAGUGGGGAAUCUUGCGCAAUGGGCGAAAGCCUGACGCAGCGACGCCGCGUGA